UUAGCACAGUGCCUGGUGCAUACUAGAUCCAUUAGUGUUGCUGUCAUUUAUAUGGAGAUGAGGGAAGCUGUGUCCAGAGAAGGAAACUGAGGCCGAGAGAACAUGGAUGCUGCCAUCUAACACCUUGCCAUCCAACAAAAAUAGAUCUUCAAGUAUUCUACUUGGAAAAUCAUACUGUCAACUACUGCUUUUUGACUUUAAUGUUUCUCACUGACCUUCACAAGAGGAAACAGGUUGGGCAAAACAAGCUGCCCCCAUAAAACCCAUUAACAUAUCUUUGGGCAAAAUCAGAAGAGAAAAUUGAUGCUUUUCCAUCCUAACAAGUGAAAUAUAGGACAGUAAUAUUCCAUCACUUUCAUGUACCACAUUUG
Phascolarctos cinereus (koala) is the source of this 371-nucleotide non-coding RNA. NCBI's taxonomy places the organism in Eukaryota, Metazoa, Chordata, Mammalia, Diprotodontia, Phascolarctidae. The record is from RefSeq and is a predicted model, not a curated record.